This 253-nucleotide ribosomal RNA is filed under the name uncultured bacterium. Its description in RNAcentral is "partial 16S ribosomal RNA". It matches the Rfam family "Bacterial small subunit ribosomal RNA", at positions 524 to 776 of the family's 1533-position model. The record is from RNAcentral.
UACGUAGGUCGCGAGCGUUAUCCGGAAUCAUUGGGCGUAAAGCGUCCGUAUGCGGUUUUGUAAGUCCGUGGUUAAAUCCCAGAGCUCAACUCUGGAAUCGUCAUGGAAACUACAACACUAGAGUAGUGCAGAGGCAGAUGGAAUUUCGGAAGUAGGGGUAAAAUCCGUAGAUCUCCGAAGGAACACCAAACGCGAAGGCAUUCUGCUGGGCACUUACUGACGCUGAGGGACGAAAGCGUGGGGAGCAAACAGG